Molecule: ribosomal RNA, 429 nt
Filed under: Gemmatimonadota bacterium
Lineage: Bacteria; Pseudomonadati; Gemmatimonadota
Description: Gemmatimonadetes bacterium partial 16S ribosomal RNA
Rfam family: Bacterial small subunit ribosomal RNA
Source: RNAcentral
UAGGGAAUCUUCGGCAAUGGACGAAAGUCUGACCGAGCAACGCCGCGUGCGUGAAGAAGGUUUUCUGAUCGUAAAACUCUGUUGUUAGAGAAGAACAAGGACGUUAGUAACUGAACGUCUACUGACGGUAUCUAACCAGAAAGCCACGGCUAACUACGUGCCAGCAGCCGCGGUAAUACGUAGGUGGCAAGCGUUGUCCGGAUUUAUUGGGCGUAAAGCGAGCGCAGGCGGAUUCUUAAGUCUGAUGUGAAAACCCCCGGCUCAACCGGGGAGGGUAAUUGGAAACUGGGGGACUUGAGUACAGAAGAGGAGAGUGGAAUUCCAUGUGUAGCGGUGAAAUGCGUAGAUAUGUGGAGGAACACCAGUAGCGAAGGCGGCUCGCUGGUCUGUAACUGACGCUGUGGCUCGAAAGCGUGGGGGGCAAACAGU